RNAcentral lists this ribosomal RNA (253 nucleotides) under uncultured bacterium. Its description in RNAcentral is "partial 16S ribosomal RNA". It matches the Rfam family "Bacterial small subunit ribosomal RNA", at positions 524 to 776 of the family's 1533-position model. The record is from RNAcentral.
UACGUAGGGUGCAAGCGUUAAUCGGAAUUACUGGGCGUAAAGCGUGCGCAGGCGGUUUUGUAAGUCUGACGUGAAAUCCCCGGGCUCAACCUGGGAAUUGCGUUGGAGACUGCAAGGCUAGAAUCUGGCAGAGGGGGGUAGAACUCCACGUGUAGCAGUGAAAUGCGUAGAGAUGUGGAGGAACACCGAUGGCGAAGGCAGCCCCCUGGGUCAAGAUUGACGCUCAUGCACGAAAGCGUGGGGAGCAAACAGG